UUUCCGUAGGUGAACCUGCGGAAGGAUCAUUAUUGUAUAACCGAGGUGCGAGGGCUGUCGCUGACCCGAAAGGUCGUGCACGCCCGAGUGCCCUCACACACAUCCAUCUCACCCCUAUGUGCACCACCGCGUGGGUCCCCCUUUGGCUUGUUCGGAGGGGGGCUUACGUUUUCACACAAACUUUGUAUGCAGUGUAGAAUGUAUUUUUUGUUUUUGCGAUCACGCAAUCAAUACAACUUUCAACAACGGAUCUCUUGGCUCUCGCAUCGAUGAAACGCAGC
Molecule: unclassified non-coding RNA, 281 nt
Filed under: plant metagenome
Description: partial contains small subunit ribosomal RNA, internal transcribed spacer 1, and 5.8S ribosomal RNA
Source: RNAcentral